This 766-nucleotide ribosomal RNA is filed under the name Phelister nr. pauli bicolor MSC-2014. Its description in RNAcentral is "SSU rRNA". It matches the Rfam family "Eukaryotic small subunit ribosomal RNA", at positions 417 to 1122 of the family's 1831-position model. Lineage: Eukaryota; Metazoa; Arthropoda; Insecta; Coleoptera; Histeridae. The record is from RNAcentral.
CAAGGAAGGCAGCAGGCGCGCAAAUUACCCACUCCCGGCACGGGGAGGUAGUGACGAAAAAUAACGAUACGGGACUCAUCCGAGGCCCCGUAAUCGGAAUGAGUACACUUUAAAUCCUUUAACGAGGAUCAAUUGGAGGGCAAGUCUGGUGCCAGCAGCCGCGGUAAUUCCAGCUCCAAUAGCGUAUAUUAAAGUUGUUGCGGUUAAAAAGCUCGUAGUCGAAUCUGUGUCGUGCGCCGCCGGUUCAUCGCUCGCGGUGUCAACUGGCGUGUCGCAGGACGUCCUGCCGGUGGACUUAGCCGCGUCGUCGUCUCGCGCGGCGUCGCGGCGGUCCAACUUCAACAAUCCCACCGCGGUGCUCUUCGCUGAGUGUCGAGGUGGGCCGGCACGUUUACUUUGAACAAAUUAGAGUGCUUAAAGCAGGCUAAAAUUUCGCCUGAAUACUGUGUGCAUGGAAUAAUGGAAUAGGACCUCGGUUCUAUUUUGUUAGUUUUCGGAGCCCCGAGGUAAUGAUUAAUAGGAACGGAUGGGGGCAUUCGUAUUGCGACGUUAGAGGUGAAAUUCUUGGAUCGUCGCAAGACGGACUUAAGCGAAAGCAUUUGCCAAAAACGCUUUCAUUGAUCAAGAACGAAAGUUAGAGGUUCGAAGGCGAUCAGAUACCGCCCUAGUUCUAACCAUAAACGAUGCCAGCUAGCGAUCCGCCGACGUUCCUCCGAUGACUCGGCGGGCAGCUUCCGGGAAACCAAGCUUUUGGGUUCCGGGGGAA